RNAcentral lists this transfer RNA (67 nucleotides) under Felis catus (domestic cat). Lineage: Eukaryota; Metazoa; Chordata; Mammalia; Carnivora; Felidae. The record is from Rfam by way of RNAcentral. RNAcentral also lists the same sequence under 4 other names.
ACCCAGGUGGCUCAGCUGGUUGAGCAUCUGAUUACAGCUCAGGUCAUGAUCUCCUGGUUCCUGGGUU